AGUGGCGAACGGGUGAGUAAAGCAUCGGAACGUGCCCAGUAGUGGGGGAUAGCCCGGCGAAAGCCGGAUUAAUACCGCAUACGACCUAAGGGUGAAAGGGGGGGAUCGCAAGACCUCUCGCUAUUGGAGCGGCCGAUGUCAGAUUAGCUAGUUGGUGGGGUAAAGGCCUACCAAGGCGACGAUCUGUAGCUGGUCUGAGAGGACGACCAGCCACACUGGGACUGAGACACGGCCCAGACUCCUACAGGAGGCAGCAAUGGGGAAUUUUGGACAAUGGACGAAAGUCUGAUCCAUCCCUGCCUCGCGUGGGAAGAAAGCCUUCGCGUUGUAAACCGCUUUUGUCUCGGAAAAAAACUUCUGGG
This 362-nucleotide ribosomal RNA is filed under the name uncultured marine bacterium. Its description in RNAcentral is "bacterial SSU rRNA". It matches the Rfam family "Bacterial small subunit ribosomal RNA", at positions 94 to 459 of the family's 1533-position model. The record is from RNAcentral.